Arachis ipaensis is the source of this 257-nucleotide long non-coding RNA. RefSeq lists it as uncharacterized. NCBI's taxonomy places the organism in Eukaryota, Viridiplantae, Streptophyta, Magnoliopsida, Fabales, Fabaceae. The record is from RefSeq and is a predicted model, not a curated record.
GAUUGACGAGCCGUUUGCGGUCACGCGUCGGGCUCGUUGAGUUCUUCAAUUCUAUUCAAAUAAAACAGGGUCCACUAGACUUGAUUUCUUGUGGGUAUUGCCCAAGGAUCAGUGGGUAAAGGUAGUGUGUAUGUGAAUGUUGAUGCUUGUUGGAGGCUUGUUGGUGAUCAAGCUUGGUUUGGGGCUGUUUGAUUGAGCUUGGAGGGGCUGUAAUUUUGAGUUGUGAGGCUGCCUUGGGUGAAUUAAGUGAUCGGCCA